UGAUCCCAGAUAGUCUCUAGUUCAUUUUUGGCUGUUGAGCACAGUUAUUGUUCAUUUGAUUGCUGCUUUACUUCAUUCAAGUAAUGAAAAUAUGUGUGACUAAUCUGGCAUGUGAUAUUCUAGGAUUCCCUUGGAGGAAACAGAAAAACAGUUAUGAUAGCUUGUGUAAGUCCAGCAGACACAAAUGCAGAGGAGACCGUAAACACGUUGAAGUAUGCAAAUCGUGCUCGCAACAUUCAAAACAAAGCGAUUAUCAACCGUGACCCAAUGGCAGCUCAAAUGCAAAGAAUGCGAAGUCAAAUUGAACAAUUGCAGGCUGAGCUUCUUUUCUUUCGUGGAGACACGGGUGCAUCAUUUGAGGAACU
Non-coding RNA from Camellia sinensis, 365 nucleotides. The record is from RefSeq and is a predicted model, not a curated record. Lineage: Eukaryota; Viridiplantae; Streptophyta; Magnoliopsida; Ericales; Theaceae.